AGGAACCUUAAAUCCGCACGCGUCUUCUUAUUUGUUUACUAGAUCAAAGCCAAUGACCCCCUCUCACUACAAAACAAAGAAUAACUAAAUCAUGGCCUCCUCACGUGGCAAGCUUGACGACGGCGGUGGAGAACUCUGUUUUCGAUCAAGCAUCGGAGAAGCAUCCAUCCACAUCCCUAGUGAUCUGCCUCUUCUAAUCGGUAAAUCAUUCAACUCAUGUUCCCGCUAAGAUCAUUUAUUUUCAACAAACCGACCCAUGGACUUGAACCCCUUGAAUCUGAUGAUGAUAGAGAUCGAUUCCUUCGACGGCUCCUCCUCGUAAUAAUCGACGAGGAUUUUAUUGAUUAAAAUCUGCAAGCUUGACUCCAAUUGUAUCUAUGGUAAGAGAUAAUUUUCUUCGCCCCUUACACAUGAUUCAUAAACAUAAGUUCAAGCCGAUACCGAUUAUCUAAGGUUUCAACUUCUUUUUCCAGAAACAACAAGUCUUUGCCGGUGAUGUUUCAUCACGAUCGAGAUUGGAAUAUUAGGAACGAUUCAUGUCCUCUAUAGCUUUUGGAUAGAAUCUGAUCAAAGUUAGGAGGUUGAAUAAGAGGUUCAAGAUGUUCAGAUUAGUUCUCAAUUCCCCCACGUUGGAUUCUCACCGUUCGAUUUAAAAUGUGGGUUGGUUUAAGGGGGUAAAUUUUUAUCGCUAUAGUAAUUAGUUUGUAUGUUUUACUAUUUGGUGCAUUUAAUUUAUGUCAUGGCUCCAUGAUUAAGUGUUUACUUUAUGGUC
RNAcentral lists this long non-coding RNA (772 nucleotides) under Linum usitatissimum (flax). Its description in RNAcentral is "long non-coding RNA (LUSI_LNC007590)". The record is from RNAcentral. Lineage: Eukaryota; Viridiplantae; Streptophyta; Magnoliopsida; Malpighiales; Linaceae.